AUUCCGGAAAAAAGCUAUCUAACAGCAAGCUAUAUAUAAUUUAUUUAGUGCGUGAAAAGCCGCACAUAUAGAAAAAAGACGAGAAGACCCUAGAAAUUUUUUUAAAAGUUUUUGUAAAUUCUAUUUUGUUGGGGCGACAUAGUAACACUUAACCUACUAUAUUAACAUGCUACUUAUAAGACGUAAGAUAAAAUUACUCUAGGGAUAACAGCAUAAUUUAUUAUUAAGUUUGUGACCUCGAUGUUGGACUAGGAAAUAUUUUAU
RNAcentral lists this ribosomal RNA (264 nucleotides) under Trochulus villosus. RNAcentral's name for it is "partial 16S ribosomal RNA". Lineage: Eukaryota; Metazoa; Mollusca; Gastropoda; Stylommatophora; Hygromiidae. The record is from RNAcentral.